CACACACACGCACUACUGCCUCCUCUGUCAUUGCAGAGGAGAAGUCUUUGUGGGAACCAAAAUCCUGGACUCCAUACUUUGGAUUAAAGGACUAAUUAUCAUAUGGAGUUCUACAGUGACCCACUAGAUGGCGACAAGAGUUUGACUAAAACGCAUGGAUAUGUUCGUCUCACCUGUGUAGUGCACACUGGCAUCCCAGCCCUCCUUCAACCACGCUGAGUUCCUGGUCUCCUCUCUGGACUGCAGAUGGUGAACCACAUACAGCUCUCCGAUCUGUGUGAAGAAUCCCCCUACAGCUUCGUUGUUAUUUUGGCGGUAUUUGAUUGCUCGAGCCCUAUGAGAUGGAAAAUAUUAUUAAUAAAAUAUAAUAAAAGACUUGUGGAAGAGACAAUAUAUGCAUAUCCUUCAUGCUUAUAAGUGUGUUAAAUUACAAUAUUCUGUGGACUUACCAGUGGUUUCCCCAUUCAAUCAUUGAUCCAGGCUUCAUUGUACAUGCACAAAGAAGGUUGUGAGGUUAAAUA
Molecule: long non-coding RNA, 521 nt
Organism: Electrophorus electricus (electric eel)
Lineage: Eukaryota; Metazoa; Chordata; Actinopteri; Gymnotiformes; Gymnotidae
Source: RefSeq, a predicted model, not a curated record